ACGUAGGGGACAAGCGUUAUCCGGAUUUACUGGGCGUGAAGCGCACGUAGGCGGACGGGUAAGUUGGCCGUGAAAGCUCCUGGCUUAACUGGGAGAGGUCGGACAAAACUGCCAGACUUGAGGCUGAGAGAGGAGAGCGGAAUUCCCGGUGUAGUGGUGGAAUGCGUAGAUAUCGGGAGGAACACCAGUGGCGAAGGCGACUCUCUGGGCCGAAACUGACGCUGAGUGUGCGAAAGCUAGGGGAGCAAACGG
Molecule: ribosomal RNA, 252 nt
Filed under: uncultured prokaryote
Description: partial 16S ribosomal RNA
Rfam family: Bacterial small subunit ribosomal RNA
Source: RNAcentral